AACCUAAUUCCAAAAUCAAAGAAAAUCAGAAACAGAGGCGAGGGGAGAAGAUUCGAAUAUUUACCUGAGCCGUUGUCGUUACUGAAGGUAAACUUUCGUUGGAGGAUUUUUCUUUUUUGAUCUUCGUGUGUAGCUCGCCUUUGGGUCGGGAGGGCGAUGAGAGAGCGAUUAAGAGAAGGCGAUGAGAGAGCGAUUAAGAGAAGGCGAUCGUGAGCGAUUGGGAAGGAGAUUGAGAGAGGCGAGUACGUUUGAGAGAGGGUUAGGAUGAGAAAUGGCAAACGCUUUGAGAGAGGUGAGUGAACGAGCUUUGUGAGAGAGACGAUUCCAUUUUUGUUUUUCUUUCUUUAUUUUUCUUUUUUCAAUUUAUUAUUAAAUAGAGUAUUUAGUUUUAAAAAGACAUUAUUAAAAAAGAUUCCUUUAAUUUUCCUAGGUUAGUUAGUUGAUAAAUGUUUUAGGUUUCCAAUUUAUUCCUCUUGGUAAACCCAACAGCCAUGCGGCUGGGUUUAAUUACUAGCAGACUAAUAGUUCUUUUUCUAUUUAGUUUUUUAUUUUAAUCCUUUUU
Molecule: long non-coding RNA, 562 nt
Filed under: Lathyrus oleraceus (garden pea)
Lineage: Eukaryota; Viridiplantae; Streptophyta; Magnoliopsida; Fabales; Fabaceae
Description: Pisum sativum (pea) long non-coding RNA (PSAT_LNC021887)
Source: RNAcentral